GCCCGCUCAGAAACUUAAAGGAAUUGACGGGGCCCGCACAAGCGGUGGAGUAUGUGGUUUAAUCGAUGCAACGCGAAGAACCUUACCUGGUCUUGACAUCCCGGAGACCCUUAGGAAACUAGGGGUGCUUCCAUCUGGAAGAAUCUGGAGACAGGUGCUGCAUGGCUGUCGUCAGCUCGUGUCGUGAGAUGUUGGGUUAAGUCCCGCAACGAGCGCAACCCUUGCCUUUAGUUGCCAGCAGUUCGGCUGGGCACUCUAAAGGGACUGCCGGUGUUAAACCGGAGGAAGGUGGGGAUGACGUCAAGUCCUCAUGGCCUUUAUGACCAGGGCUACACACGUACUACAAUGGCCGAUACAAAGGGCAGCGACACUGCGAGGUGAAGCCAAUCCCGUAAAAUCGGUCUCAGUCCGGAUUGGAGUCUGCAACUCGACUCCAUGAAGUUGGAAUCGCUAGUAAUCGUGGAUCAGCAUGCCACGGUGAAUACGUUCCCGGGCCUU
Molecule: ribosomal RNA, 498 nt
Filed under: uncultured Desulfobulbus sp.
Lineage: Bacteria; Pseudomonadati; Thermodesulfobacteriota; Desulfobulbia; Desulfobulbales; Desulfobulbaceae
Description: bacterial SSU rRNA
Rfam family: Bacterial small subunit ribosomal RNA
Source: RNAcentral